RNAcentral lists this long non-coding RNA (1975 nucleotides) under Gouania willdenowi (blunt-snouted clingfish). RNAcentral's name for it is "lncRNA (ENSGWIG00000019558.1)". Lineage: Eukaryota; Metazoa; Chordata; Actinopteri; Blenniiformes; Gobiesocidae. The record is from RNAcentral.
CAUAAGAAACAUAUUCAGGACUUCUUCAUCCAUACUCACUUAGCUGAUUGCAACAUUUGUCUGUACAUUUGUAACAUUAAGGUGCAGGAGUUGGAACCUGGGGACCUAGUCAAGGAGGCGUUUUAGGUGGUGGAGCUGGUCAGCAAGCAGGGGGAGGAGUGGGAGUCGCACCUGGUUCAGGUGGAGGUGUGGGGACAAGAGUCGGAACGGGAUUUGGAGGAGGUGUUGGAACAGGAGCCGGACCAGGACUUGGAGGAGGUGUGGGGACAGGAGUUGGACCAGGACUCGGAGGAGGUGUUGGAACAGGAGCCGGACCUGGACUUGCAGGAGGUGUGGGGACAGGAGGUGGACCAGGACUUGGAGGAGGUGUGGGGACAGGACUCCGUCCUGGAUUUGGAGGAACAGGAGCAGCUGGAACAGGAGGUUGUAUAAAAGUGUUUUUUUCGUCUUCUUGUUAUGGUGUUAUUUCCUGUCUCUGUGAUAUUACUGUUAACACCUAAAAAUUCCUUCACUGUUAUGGUAAAAUAGUUUGACUCAUUCAAGUUUAUAGUUUGAUAACCAUUCGUUUCCACAUCAUUUGGAAUCACAGGUUACGUCCCUGGCUCUGACAAAGCUCGUAAAUAUGGUGAGACCUUUAAAAUACUACAACCACAAACUAAUGCAUGUUAUUAAAGCCUCACUCACUCAUUGUCCAGGAGCUGGAGGGACUGGUGGUGGCACCGGCUUUAGCCCUGGAGGUGCUGGUACUGGGACAGUUGGAGGACCAGGAGGAGUGGGCACUGGUGUAGGACCCGGUUCAGGUGUUGGCUAUGGUCCUGGUGGGGGCAGCACUGGGCCAGGUGGUCUUGGUUACGGUCAAGGUGCAGCGGGGGCUGGAUAUGGAGGGGCAAGAACAGGACCUGGUGGUUAUGACGCCAAUGCCAAAGCACGAAAAUAUGGUAUGCUUAGUGGGGCACUCGGAGGGUCAGGAGGAGCAGGGACUGGUUAUGGACCAGCUGGUGCUGGACAAGGAGGAGCAGGUACUGGUUAUGGACCAGGUGGUGUAGGGACUAGUUAUGGACCUGGUGGAGCUGGACAAGGAGGAGCAGGGACUGGUUAUGGACCAGGUGGUGUAGGGACUAGUUAUGGACCUGGUGGAGCUGGACAAGGAGGAGCAGGGACUGGUUAUGGACCAGGUGGUGUAGGGACUAGUUAUGGACCUGGUGGAGCUGGACAAGGAGGAGCAGGGACUGGUUAUGGACCAGGUGGAGCUGGACCAGGAGGAGUAGGGACUGGUUAUGGAUCACGAGAUGCAGGGACUGGUUAUGGACCAGGAGGAGCAGGGACUGGUUAUGGACCAAGUGGAGCUGGAACUGGUUAUGGACCAGGUGGUGCAGGAACUGGUUAUGGACAAGGUGGAGCGGUGCCAGGAGGAGCAGGGACGGGUUAUGGACCAAGUGGAGCUGGAACUGGUUAUGGACCAGGUGGUGCAGGGACUGGUUAUGGGCCAGGUGGAGCAGGACCAGGAAGAGCAGGGACUGGUUACGGUCCAAGCAGUGCAGGGACUAGUUAUGGACCAGGAGGAGCAGGGACUGGUUAUGGACCGGGUGGGACAGGAACUGGUUAUGGACCGGGUGGAGCUGGCUAUGGACCUGGAGGCUAUGCCGGAGCCAAAGCCCGUAAACACGGGCUUCCUGGAGGUGCUGGAGGUGCCCUGGGGGUUGAGGCUGGACCUGGUUCUGCAGGGGGAGUAGGUGGUGGCCUCCCUGGCCAAGGUGCAGUAACAACCAGUGGUGGACCUGGUUCUGGAGUUAGAGUUGGACCUGGAGCUGGAGCAGGGGGCUAUGGUCCUGGUUCUGGAGGAGCACUGGGCACUGGAAGAGGAUAUGGGCCUGGUGGAUUUUGGCCUGGCGCUGGAGCUGGUACUGGUUACGGACCAGGUGGAGGUUAUAGUGCAGGACCAGGAACUGGAUAUGGAGGUUUAAAUAUUACUUAA